GCCCAGGUGGCGGAAUUGGUAGACGCACUAGUUUCAGGUACUAGCGGGGGCAACUUCGUGGAGGUUCGAGUCCUCUCCUGGGCACCA
Molecule: transfer RNA, 87 nt
Filed under: Stenotrophomonas maltophilia
Lineage: Bacteria; Pseudomonadati; Pseudomonadota; Gammaproteobacteria; Lysobacterales; Lysobacteraceae
Description: tRNA-Leu
Rfam family: tRNA
About the family: Transfer RNA (tRNA) molecules are approximately 80 nucleotides in length. Their secondary structure includes four short double-helical elements and three loops (D, anti-codon, and T loops).
Source: RNAcentral